UACAGAGGGUGCAAGCGUUAAUCGGAAUUACUGGGCGUAAAGGGUCUGUAGGUGGCUUGCUAAGUCAGACGUGAAAUCCCUCAGCUUAACUGGGGAACUGCGUCUGAGACUGGCGAGCUUGAGGGCAGGAGAGGAACGCGGAAUUCCAGGUGUAGCGGUGAAAUGCGUAGAUAUUGGGAAGAACACCGGUGGCGAAGGCGGCUCUCUGGACCGAUACUGACGCUGAGGCGCGAAAGCGUGGGGAGCAAACAGG
This 253-nucleotide ribosomal RNA is filed under the name uncultured bacterium. RNAcentral describes it as "partial 16S ribosomal RNA". It matches the Rfam family "Bacterial small subunit ribosomal RNA", at positions 524 to 776 of the family's 1533-position model. The record is from RNAcentral.